GACGAACGCUGGCGGCGUGCUUAACACAUGCAAGUCGAACGGAAAGGCCCUGCUUGCAGGGUGCUCGAGUGGCGAACGGGUGAGUAACACGUGGGUGAUCUGCCCCUUACUUUGGGAUAAGCCUGGGAAACUGGGUCUAAUACUGGAUAGGACCCUGCUGUAGGUGGUGUGGUGGAAAGAUUAGUUUCGGUAAGGGGUGAGCUCGCGGCCUAUCAGCUUGUUGGUGGGGUAAUGGCCUACCAAGGCGUCGACGGGUAGCCGGCCUGAGAGGGUGGACGGCCACAUUGGGACUGAGAUACGGCCCAGACUCCUACGGGAGGCAGCAGUGGGGAAUAUUGCACAAUGGGCGCAAGCCUGAUGCAGCGACGCCGCGUGGGGGAUGACGGCCUUCGGGUUGUAAACUCCUUUCAGCCAUGACGAAGCCCUUGUGGUGACGGUAGUGGUAGAAGAAGCACCGGCUAACUACGUG
This 469-nucleotide ribosomal RNA is filed under the name uncultured bacterium. Its description in RNAcentral is "partial 16S ribosomal RNA". It matches the Rfam family "Bacterial small subunit ribosomal RNA", at positions 28 to 507 of the family's 1533-position model. The record is from RNAcentral.